This 92-nucleotide transfer RNA is filed under the name Kribbella steppae. RNAcentral's name for it is "Kribbella sp. VKM Ac-2572 tRNA-Ser". Lineage: Bacteria; Bacillati; Actinomycetota; Actinomycetes; Propionibacteriales; Kribbellaceae. The record is from RNAcentral.
GGCGGAAUAAGCCGAGCUUCGGCCUAACGGCAGCCGUUUCGAAAACGGUCAGCCCUUCAGCGGGCGUGCAGGUUCGAGACCUGCUUCCGCCG